Molecule: long non-coding RNA, 1110 nt
Organism: Drosophila innubila
Lineage: Eukaryota; Metazoa; Arthropoda; Insecta; Diptera; Drosophilidae
Exons: 3
Source: RefSeq, a predicted model, not a curated record
AAUAUGGUGCAAUGGCGAAAACGAAGAGCGAAAGAGAAACGUGCAAAAUACAUGGCAACAGAAACGAUGAGUGACCGUCCUAUGUGUGUGUGUGAGUGAGUGAGACGUCAUAGCAAGCGCGUGCUACUCUGCUGGGCGCCGCUCCGCAAGGUAUGCGUGCAGAAAAUUGUUAUACGCGUAUUUGUAAUGGUGCGCGCGGCCCGUAACGAGCAAGAAGGUGAAAAAAGAAGAACAAGAGCAAUAAAACGCGUACACAGACAACGACAACGGCAACGACGACAGAAGAGCGGCAGCGACAACGACGAACGUCUCAGUCUCGACGCUUUUGCUAUUUGCAGAGAGAGAGCGCGCGCGAGCGUGAGAGCAAGAGUGAGAGUCAUCCAGCACUCAUACACACACGGACACAUACAGAGAGAACGAAGCAGAGUCGAGACACGACAACACUACUGCACCACUACACAACACUACACUAUUUGCAAAAAAAAAAAAGACGACGAAAAGAAAAGUACAAUAAAAAUUAAUCCGAUUGACAGGCAGCCACCGCUUCGUCGUCUCGUCGUCGUCUGUCGCUCGCUCUCGUUCGGCCUUCGUUGGUUGGUUUGUUGGUUGCGGCUGCUGUUGCUGUUGAUAAAUUUCUGCGACUUCCGCGCGCGCCCAGCCAAAAACAACACCGAAACUAAACUACACAACUACAACAACUAUUUGUAGUUGCUGCUGCUGCUGCGACGACGACGAAUCUGCUACGCGACUGCGAGCGCUCUUCUUCUUCUACUACACUUCCAACAUUGCCCAGCAGCAGAGCAGCCCAACCGGCGUCUUUGUCAUUUCGCGAAGCGCGCGUUGACGUUAACGUCGACGUCGACACAAGCAGCGCCGCUGACGACGCCAUUGCCCAAAUUAUUAUAGCAAUAUAAUAUUUUCAGUUACGUUUUAAACGUUUAACGCCAAAAAGGACGUUCCUUGGCUAUAAUGGCAACAUCGCUGCCAGCGCUGACGUCUCUGCCAGCUUUAGCAGCACGCAGCGCAAAAGAAAGGAAGCAAAUUUUUGGCUGUUUGCGGUUUGCUGAGCACAACAACAACAGCUGUAAGCUGCUGAGAGUGAGAGCGAAA